RNAcentral lists this long non-coding RNA (1061 nucleotides) under Anas platyrhynchos platyrhynchos (common mallard). RNAcentral's name for it is "lncRNA (ENSAPLG00000023984.1)". Lineage: Eukaryota; Metazoa; Chordata; Aves; Anseriformes; Anatidae. The record is from RNAcentral.
AUCCAGACAUCUUCCAGUCCCAGAAGGACUUGCCCUUGGCAAGGAUUACUAGCCUAUGGAGGCAGGAUGGACGCCAUCUCAGUCAAAUUCCUGGAGUAACAGGAAAGGAGGCUGAGAAGACGCCGUUACAGAAAAAACCAGGAGAAUCGCAGAGGUGAGCAGCCCUGGACAAGGGCAGGUGCCCUGGAAAGAUACCGCCUGGCCCCAUGUGCCAGCUGCCCUACCAGGGGCUCCCAGUCCACUGACUGUCUGUCUUCUCUGCCAACAGUUCGGGAUGCCCAUGACUCUUCACAGCCCUCAAAGAAACUGUAAGUGGAGCCAUUCGCUCUGGAGUGUGACAGCCUUCUCUGGUCAACCCCACGAAAUGAGGUCCCACUAAUGCUGUGCUUUGCCUCUUCACAGAUGUCCCAAACACCCGGAGCUGGAUGGUGUGCCUAGACUAACCCAACAGUUCAACACGAUCCUUGAGGACCUCAACAGAUACAUUGAAAUGUACAGCUUCGAGAUUACUGAGUGCACUGAUGACUCCCUCAAUCCCAUCAGUACAACGGAAACCAGCUCCUCUUCAGGGAUGUCUCUGUCCACUGGGAGAAGGAACUCCUGCACUUCUGUCGUCAAAAUGAAAGCCCAUCGCUCUUCGAAGACCUCUCCACCAUCUUGUAGCAAUGUAUCCAUCACUUCUGUUUUGGACAUGGAUCCCUGCUGCUCUUCAAGGGCCUCCUUUUCCACUUGGAGUGACAACUCCCUUGCUGCCGUUGUGGCAACAAACGCCAGUUGCUCUUCAAAGGCCCCACUGAUCCCAUACAAGGACGACUCCCACACUUACACCAGGAUGAUUGAAGGUGCUUCACAGCUGUCACUCACAACUCUUCUGAAUGGAGCAGACAUGGUUCAAGCUUCCACAGUCCAGCCUUGUCUGCUUCCCAGUACUGUCCCAGAGGAGCAGCAUGACAUGGGCACACAUCCACCCUGCACAAAAGAGAAGGCCAGCUGCCACAGGGCCUACAGAGUGAAGCAGCAACAGAAAGAACUCCAGGACCAGCAGGGUGCUCCCACCCCAC